Molecule: long non-coding RNA, 443 nt
Organism: Candoia aspera
Lineage: Eukaryota; Metazoa; Chordata; Lepidosauria; Squamata; Candoiidae
Exons: 2
Source: RefSeq, a predicted model, not a curated record
AUGUCAUCAUCUCAUGCCUGUCUUCUAAUAAUAUUUACUGUAUGUUUUAAAUUGUAUUAAGCUGGUCUACUGCAAAGAAAUCUGAUUACUCCUUGGAAUGCAACACAUACUGUAUUUAUUUAUUUGGGACUUUUUUUUCUGGACAAAUGUACUCAUUUUGUUGCUUUACAGUGUAUCAUUUUGGAUUUUACAUGUGGUAGAGCUGAGACCUGCGACAUUCCUGCAACAGAGGGUGUCAUCCAUAAUAGGUUGAGGUUAUACAGUUAGAAAAUGUAAACCUUUUGACUUUGUCUCAGAAUGGUUGAAUUUUACUGUGUCAUCAAAACUGAUUAUCCCUGAAGCUUCAGGCAGUACUGUAAUACUGAAUGGUUGCUCUCUCAAUGCAUGUGGUUGCAUUUGACAGCAUAUGGUUUUAUAAAUAAACCUUAAAUGUAUAAAACUCA